ACCGGCAGCUCAAGUGGUGGCCAUUAUUAUUGGGCCUAAAGCGUUCGUAGCCGGUUUGAUAAGUCUCUGGUGAAAUCCCGCAGCUUAACUGGGGGACUUGCUGGAGAUACUAUCAGACUUGAGGUCGGGAGAGGUGAGGGGUACUCCCAGGGUAGGAGUGAAAUCCUGUAAUCCUGGGGGGACCACCUGUGGCGAAGGCGUCUCACUGGGACGACCCUGACGGUGAGGAACGAAAGCUAGGGGCGCAAACCG
RNAcentral lists this ribosomal RNA (252 nucleotides) under uncultured prokaryote. RNAcentral describes it as "partial 16S rRNA". It matches the Rfam family "Archaeal small subunit ribosomal RNA", at positions 475 to 726 of the family's 1478-position model. The record is from RNAcentral.